UGAUGACUAAAAGGUUUAGGCAUCAGCAUCAGGUUUCAAAAGCUUGCUUUGUGCCGGGCACAGUGGCUCACACCUGUAAUCCCAGCACUUUGGGAGGCCAAGGCAGGUGAAUCACCUGAGAUCAGGGGUUCGAGACCAGCCUGGACAACAUUGUGAAACCCCGUCUCUACUAAAAAUACAAAAAACUAGCCAGGCAUGGUGGUGCACGCUUGUAAUCCCAGCUACUUGGGAGGCUGAGGCAUGAGAAUCGUAUCAACCCGGGAGGUGGAGGUUGCAGUGAGCCGAGAUGGCGCCACUGCAGUCACUGAACCUGGGCAACAAGAGCAAAACUCCAUCUCAAGAAAAAAAAAAAAGGUUUGCUUUGGGCCAGAGAGAGGAGAAAUGCAAAG
RNAcentral lists this long non-coding RNA (389 nucleotides) under Homo sapiens (human). RNAcentral's name for it is "non-protein coding lnc-MAP3K8-7:1". Lineage: Eukaryota; Metazoa; Chordata; Mammalia; Primates; Hominidae. The record is from RNAcentral.